UACAGAGGUCUCAAGCGUUGUUCGGAUUCAUUGGGCGUAAAGGGUGCGUAGGCGGGUUGGUAAGUCCGUGGUGAAAUCCCCAAGCUUAACCUGGGAACUGCCGUGGAUACUAUCAAUCUUGAAUAUCGUGGAGGUAAGCGGAAUAUGUCAUGUAGCGGUGAAAUGCUUAGAUAUGACAUAGAACACCAAUUGCGUAGGCAGCUUACUACACGAUCAUUGACGCUGAGGCACGAAAGCGUGGGGAGCAAACAGG
This 253-nucleotide ribosomal RNA is filed under the name uncultured bacterium. RNAcentral describes it as "partial 16S ribosomal RNA". It matches the Rfam family "Bacterial small subunit ribosomal RNA", at positions 524 to 776 of the family's 1533-position model. The record is from RNAcentral.